This 153-nucleotide non-coding RNA is filed under the name Nocardioides luteus. The record is from RNAcentral. Lineage: Bacteria; Bacillati; Actinomycetota; Actinomycetes; Propionibacteriales; Nocardioidaceae.
GCGUGCGCGUCAUAAGAUGGCCCCCUCUCAAUCAACACACGCCGUGGUGGGGGAAGCCGGUCCAAGCCCGGCGCUGACCCGCAACCGUAGGCCCGGGACAUCGAGGGGGUGUCCCGAGCGAGCCGGAGCACCUGCCGACGGACGCGUACUGAC